This 214-nucleotide long non-coding RNA is filed under the name Gossypium barbadense (sea-island cotton). Its description in RNAcentral is "long non-coding RNA (GBAR_LNC001195)". The record is from RNAcentral. Lineage: Eukaryota; Viridiplantae; Streptophyta; Magnoliopsida; Malvales; Malvaceae.
UUUUUGCUCUGUUCUGCUGCCAUCGCUGCUGCCUCUGCCUCCCUCGCUCGUGCCUCUGCCUCCCUCGUUGCUGCCGCUGCCUCCCUCGCUGCUGCUGCUGCCUCCCUCUUUGCUGCCUCCGCUCUAAGUUGUUGCUGGAGUUCUUCAUAUUUUCGUUGAACCUCGAAAAUUUGUUCAACCGUGUUCGCUUGCAUCUGAGCUAUCUGGUCUCUUA